CGAGUGCUGCAAAAGCGUGAAGAGGUAACGCAUCAGACCUCUAAUCGGAAAAGACUACCCGCCGAGUUU
Molecule: ribosomal RNA, 69 nt
Filed under: Bryum argenteum
Lineage: Eukaryota; Viridiplantae; Streptophyta; Bryopsida; Bryales; Bryaceae
Description: partial 26S ribosomal RNA
Source: RNAcentral